RNAcentral lists this long non-coding RNA (4758 nucleotides) under Sus scrofa (pig). RNAcentral describes it as "lncRNA (ENSSSCG00065071379.1)". Lineage: Eukaryota; Metazoa; Chordata; Mammalia; Artiodactyla; Suidae. The record is from RNAcentral.
AUUAUAUAUAGUUUUAACUACUAUAGUUAUAACUAUUGCCUAACUACUUGUACUUGUGGCUACUACAUUUACAAUGGCCUUGAUAUAGAGCAAAAAGAGACUAGGACUGGAGUUUCGGUCCAAGUUCUGGCAUUUUCUAGGUAACCUUUUUGUUCACCUGUGCUCCUGGUAAAAUUUACAGUAGAAAGUCUUUCCAUUUCUAAGGUCCUCAUACUACUCAGUCACAAGCUAAUCCACACUCACUUAAAUUUAUGCUCAGAAACCAGUCAGAAAUUUUUUGACUUCAGCGCUUUCAAGAAAAAACUCUAAGCGCUUUGUUUUGAGCAUGUCGCUGUGAAAAAGAUAGUCACCUUCACGUUUUCCCCAAAUUCUCAGCACUGUUCUGCAGCUGGCACCCUGUGUGCCAUCUUAUAAACUCCAUUUUAUUAAGUGUUUUUAUUUAAAUUCAAAGUACUAUUUAGUAUUUGAGAUCUUAAAAGAUAAAUGUAAAAGAAGGGUUUUUUCAGAGUUAAGAAAAUUAGAAAAGGCAGUGUAUUGAUAUCUGCAUCUAAAAAUGUAGAAAGGAAAAGAACGGGAAGAAAACAGUUUCUCAUUACGCAUAUUUCCCAUUGGAUUUUCUCCCCUCUUUUUAAGGCAUCCCAUUCCUUCUGUCGACUUCCGUUGAAGCGGCUGUCCCUGUCAAUUGUCUGUCACUGCUUCAUGUCAUUCUUUAAAAGACUAGCAAACUUCCUGAGUGACAUGUAACUUCAAUCAAUUUGCAUUUCUGCCACCGUGGGAAUUAUUUUUGAAAACUUAUGCAUUCUUUCUAGGCUCUUUGAGGCCUUAAUUGCCUAGAAUGUCCCUUGAUCUAUAAACUUUCUGUAAGUGGUUCUGUCGGAAAGGAAGUCUGUCUGAACCUAAGGAGCAUCUUCUUUCUUAAGACACUUUUAAACAAGUUCUAAAAUCCGGUCUGGUAGACAACAUGAUGAGACAUUGAGAGGCGUCUCACCAUGGUCUGUUGAAUCGUGCAGUAAUAUUCCAUACUCGGCAGAGGCUGCACAGAACCCUAUGGUUGACCAAGACGUGGAAGCCAAAUUGGUUUCCCAUCUGGAUUCUCUCUUAUCAAGCCCCAAGUAUCUCACAUCACCUCUGUCCACCUGGGUUUACUUUGUGAAAGUGGAGAUUAGAAGUGUCCAUCUGAUUCAUGAGGUUGCUGUGCUGAUUAAGUACAACUGUACUUUAUACUUGGAUCCUUCUCUGACCACUUUCCUUCCUUUGAUGUCUGUCUCUAGGAAAACGUUAAAGAACAUCUCUUAGGGAACCCAAAACAUGAAACUCUUCAGUAUAAGUCAGGGUGUGGUGAUGAGAAAUCCUGGCUAUUGCCACCAAGUCCUGAUUUUAAAGAUUCUGUUCCUUGUCUCUGUGUGAUAUGCAUCCAUGUCAGACAACACAUGACAUUUUCUGUCUUUGUGUCUCCCCCCCACCACACCCAAUUCUUCCCUUCUGUUUCUUUCACAUGCAUGCUUCAGAAAUUCAUUGCCAGGAACUGACAUAAAGUGAUGUUACGAAUUGAUGUUUACAUUUUGUAGAUGAAGAAACUGAGAAUCAGAGCGAUUUAGGAACUAAUGCAUGUUCACCCAGCUAGAAAAUGCCAAAUCUGAGCAUACUGGUUCUAUUUUAUUUUUCUCCAUCACCAAGAGGCUCUGUAGCAGCAUUUCAUGGCCAUCCUAUUAGUUUCUCUGAUCAAAUGACACUAAAGCCACACUUUUGUUUCUCUCUUAGGGAAGGGCUGAUUCCAGGCCUAAUAGCAGCUAUUAACAUUUUCAUACAAGGUCCUUUUAAAAUGUGGGAAUAGCUUUGAGAUUAAUUUCUUUUAAAGCAGACUUAAACUAGCUUUUCUACUGAUGCCAUGAAGAGGAAAAUAGUCUUGUCCAAGGUCGAUAAAGAAUUGAAAAGUGAGGUUAAUAAUAAAGGCAGAAUUAGAAGCACUUUCAGUGGGGAUAUGUCAUGUGCAAGCCUAUAAAAUAAAUAGCAAUUAUCACAUUAGGAAAAUGAGUCCCUUGGAAUGGGAGCGGUUUCUGAUAACUCUAUGUACCACUCUCCUCUGCCUUGCUCACUUUGUAUCUCUAAUUGACUAAAUCAAUGCAUGACACUCCCCACUCCUGUGCUUAAGACGAAAGCUGUUGUGUUCCAUAAGAGCUCAAUAACUGGAGACAAAACUGUGCCAUUCCAAAAGCACCCUCUUACCUAUUGUCUGUUUUACACUUUACUUGUGUAUGUAACAAAGAUUACUUGCUUAUGCAUAUUGUAUCUGUUAGAUAUAAUAGUAAAUUCCGGAUAAAUGGUGCCUGUUGUGUACAGCAUAACACAUGCUAAAGGUGCUUGUUUUAUGUUAUUGCUCUGAAUCCUUACAACAUCCCAGUUAUUAGUUAUCAUUAUUGCCAUUUUACAGAUCAGAAGUAGGAGUUCAGAGAUACACAAACAGGUUCAGGUUUUUGGUACCAGAGAGUGGCAGAGAGAGAAUUUAACUUAGUUUUGUAGGGAUAUCUGGGCUUAAUCUUGAGUAUACUGUGUAGAAUAUCCACAUGUACAUGAUAUGCUGUCACUACCAGUGACAGAAAGUCAAGAUUAGUUUUUCCAAAGUUGGAGACAAUACUUCUGAAACUUUGUUAAGUCAGAUAAGUAAGAAUAUCUCAGUAUAAAUUAAGUCUCUUGAUUUCUAAGCCAUUUCCGUCAAGUACAAAAACUUCCUUGUGAGCCCUUUAUGAUGGCCCUGUUAUUUGUUGUGGAGAUUACAUGCGGCGCAAACUUCAUAUCUGGCAGCGGUGAUGGCAUCACAGGGGACAGUGUGUCAUAUCUAUCCUUGUCCUGCUGCAAACAUAUUUUACCUGCAUGCACAGGUGGCUAUGGGUACUCUGUCACUGAAGGGUUAGGACUGAGCUCCAUAGAAUUCAUCUGUGAGUUGGAAAGAAAAGAGCAGGAUAAGAAAGAGGCAGACAAAUCCUAGAAAAAGAUGAAAUUUAUGGAGUGUUUAUAAUGUGUCAUAUACUGCACUAUGCAUCUGCUACAUAUGAUCAACUUUGAUCCCCUGAAACACUGUGAGGAAUAGCUAUUAGUAUUCCCAUUCGAAAGAAAGUUAAAUAACGUAUCCAAUGUCAUUCAGCAAGUGACAGAGGUGGAAGUUAAACCCAAGGAGUUUGCUUUCAGACACUGGGCUCUUAUCCUAUAUAUUUUAUAGGGUUCUUAAGUAUUGUUUCCUAGAAAACUCUAUGGUGCUCCUAAUCUUCCCCUUUAUGUAAUUAAUACUGGUUUUUGCGUGCGCAUCCUGUGCUAGAGCCUGCUGAAAGUGCUGGGAAGGGAGGGAAAUCACUGUGAUCUAUAACAUUUCAUUUAAUAUACUGAAAUGUGUCCUCCUCUACCACAUGGCACAUAAACUGUAAGUUACAGUUGAUGCUGAAUACACAUUUUUUCAAUGAAUAAAUGUACAAAUGAAUACAUGAAGCCAACUUGGGAGCGAUGGGCACGUGAACAUAUGCUGCGAACACAUAUGCCAGUGUUUUCAGCCUUGACUGUAAUUUGCUCCCCAAAUUUAUUCCUCUCCUUUUUCUUAGUAAAGCCAUGCAUGAUAGGUACCCAGGCUAGUAGAAACCGAAAUUUAAUUACUUUGCCUCUUCCUUUGUGUAAUGAGGUAUGACCAUGUAACAGCAUAUAUUUAAAUUGAUAACACAUGUAAUUUUUGUGCAGUUUCUUAGAAUUAUCCACGUAGAAAGGUAGCCUAUUUUUCUUUGCCUCUCCCUCCUUACUGAUUCUUGGAAGGUAGAUGUGAUGGCUGGUGCCCAGGGGGCCAUCUUGGACUAUGAGGUGACACAUUAAGAACUGCGAAAGAGCAAACUACUAGGAUGCAGGUCCUCAUGGUCAUGAAGCACUCUAAUCUCUUUUACGUGAGAUUAAGUGAGAGAAAUAAAUUCCCAUUUUGUUCAAGUCAUGAUUAUUUGCUCUUUUUCUAUAGUAAGCAGUUAAUCCUACCCUUAGUGAUUCAGGGUUAAGACACAUAUAUACAUAGUGUUGCCAGAAGACAGAUUAGGGAACAUCUAAUUUAAGAGAUGGCUGGAAAUUAGGAAAGAUUCUCAAGAGGUUGGAAUAGAAACUUGAAGAAUGAGUAAGAGUUUACGAGCAUCCAAGGUGAGGGAAUUCUUUCAAGAAUCAAAGUCACAUUUCUAGGAUUCAGCAGUUGUAUCUCUCUCCAGGCUGCCUUCCAGUGGUGGAUUUAGAUGCAUAAUACCAUUAAAAAAUCAUCUGUUAAAUAUUGAGCACCCAAUGAAGCAGACCCAGAUCCUGUGCUUAGUAGAAGCUGACAGUUCUUCCCAAUCUGGGACUAGUGUGCCUCUCUAGUCUCAGCACCUGCUACUAAGCUGAUUUGCACUCUACAGGUGUUAGGAGAGUUACUUCUACCACACUGUGCUUGUUUGCCUCCAUGGUGUAGCAGUGAUCCAGAAUUCUCUUUGCUGCUUGCAAGUUCUAUUAAAACUCUUUGUAUCCUCCUCCUCUUCCUCUUAGUCUUCCCUUCUCUUCUCUUCCCUUUCUCUUCAGGUAAGACUGGGAAAGGUAGGAGUCUGUGGCAGGCCAAAGGUUGCUAUGUGGUCUAGAGCAGUCUGUCAGAGUCCAGGCAAUUGGAGAAAGACAUGCAAAUGAGCCAAAAGCCUCUGCUUGUACCAGAAAGUAAAGAGGUAAUAACAAUAAUGGGCAUUUCAAAAGAACACAGAAGCCACUUUGAAAGCU